RNAcentral lists this ribosomal RNA (492 nucleotides) under uncultured bacterium. RNAcentral's name for it is "partial 16S ribosomal RNA". It matches the Rfam family "Bacterial small subunit ribosomal RNA", at positions 29 to 507 of the family's 1533-position model. The record is from RNAcentral.
AGUGAACGCUGGCGGUAGGCCUAACACAUGCAAGUCGAACGGCAGCACAGUAAGAGCUUGCUCUUACGGGUGGCGAGUGGCGGACGGGUGAGGAAUACAUCGGAAUCUACUUUUUCGUGGGGGAUAACGUAGGGAAACUUACGCUAAUACCGCAUACGACCUACGGGUGAAAGCAGGGGAUCUUCGGACCUUGCGCGAGUGAAUGAGCCGAUGUCGGAUUAGCUAGUUGGCGGGGUAAAGGCCCACCAAGGCGACGAUCCGUAGCUGGUCUGAGAGGAUGGUUAGACACACUGGAACUGAGACACGGUCCAGACUCCUACGGGAGGCAGCAGUGGGGAAUAUUAGACAAUGGGGGAAAGCCUGAUCCAGCCAUACCGCGUGGGUGAAGAAGGCCUUCGGGUUGUAAAGCCCUUUUGUUGGGAAAGAAAAGCAGCAGGUUAAUACCCCGCUGUUCUGACGGUACCCAAAGAAUAAGCACCGGCUAACUUCGUG